Molecule: ribosomal RNA, 1460 nt
Filed under: Prorocentrum minimum
Lineage: Eukaryota; Dinophyceae; Prorocentrales; Prorocentraceae
Description: partial Bacterial large subunit ribosomal RNA
Rfam family: Bacterial large subunit ribosomal RNA
Source: RNAcentral
GAAGAAGCGCAUACGGUGGAUGCCUUGGCAGUCAGAGGCGAUGAAAGACGUGGUAGCCUGCGAAAAGCUUCGGGGAGUCGGCAAACAGACUUUGAUCCGGAGAUGUCUGAAUGGGGGAACCCACCUAACAUAAGUUAGGUAUCUUAAGCUGAAUACAUAGGCUUAAGAAGCGAACCAGGGGAACUGAAACAUCUAAGUACCCUGAGGAAAAGAAAUCAACCGAGAUUCCCUUAGUAGUGGCGAGCGAACGGGGACCAGCCCUUAAGCUGUAUUGAUGUUAGCGGAACGCUCUGGAAAGUGCGGCCAUAGUGGGUGAUAGCCCUGUACGCGAAAACAUCUUUGCAGUGAAAUCGAGUAGGACGGAGCACGAGAAACUUUGUCUGAAUAUGGGGGGACCAUCCUCCAAGGCUAAAUACUACUGACUGACCGAUAGUGAACCAGUACCGUGAGGGAAAGGCGAAAAGAACCCCGGAGAGGGGAGUGAAAUAGAUCCUGAAACCGUAUGCGUACAAGCAGUGGGAGCCUACUUUGUUAGGUGACUGCGUACCUUUUGUAUAAUGGGUCAGCGACUUAUAUUCUGUAGCAAGGUUAACCGUAUAGGGGAGCCGCAGGGAAACCGAGUCUUAACUGGGCGUUAAGUUGCAGGGUAUAGACCCGAAACCCGGUGAUCUAUCCAUGGGCAGGUUGAAGGUUGGGUAACACUAACUGGAGGACCGAACCGACUACCUUUGAAAAGUUAGCGGAUGACCUGUGGAUCGGAGUGAAAGGCUAAUCAAGCUCGGAGAUAGCUGGUUCUCCUCGAAAGCUAUUUAGGUAGCGCCUCAUGUAUCACUGUAGGGGGUAGAGCACUGUUUCGGCUAGGGGGUCAUCCCGACUUACCAAACCGAUGCAAACUCCGAAUACCUACAAGUGCCGAGCAUGGGAGACACACGGCGGGUGCUAACGUCCGUCGUGAAGAGGGAAACAACCCAGACCGCCAGCUAAGGUCCCAAAGUCAUGGUUAAGUGGGAAACGAUGUGGGAAGGCACAGACAGCCAGGAUGUUGGCUUAGAAGCAGCCAUCAUUUAAAGAAAGCGUAAUAGCUCACUAGUCGAGUCGGCCUGCGCGGAAGAUGUAACGGGGCUAAACCAUGCACCGAAGCUGCGGCAGCGACACUAUGUGUUGUUGGGUAGGGGAGCGUUCUGUAAGCCGUUGAAGGUGAACUGUGAGGUUUGCUGGAGGUAUCAGAAGUGCGAAUGCUGACAUGAGUAACGACAAUGGGUGUGAAAAACACCCACGCCGAAAGACCAAGGUUUCCUGCGCAACGUUAAUCGACGCAGGGUUAGUCGGUCCCUAAGGCGAGGCUGAAAAGCGUAGUCGAUGGAAAACAGGUUAAUAUUCCUGUACUUCUGGUUAUUGCGAUGGAGGGACGGAGAAGGCUAGGCCAGCUUGGCGUUGGUUGUCCAAGUUUAAGGUGGUAG